This 771-nucleotide small RNA is filed under the name Schizosaccharomyces pombe (fission yeast). RNAcentral's name for it is "small heterochromatic RNA precursor". Lineage: Eukaryota; Fungi; Ascomycota; Schizosaccharomycetes; Schizosaccharomycetales; Schizosaccharomycetaceae. The record is from RNAcentral.
GUCCAUAUCAAUGUCCAUAUCAAUUUCCCAUGUUCCAUUACAUAUCCCGUGUUCUUUCCUUCUUCCAGCUUUUACAUGCUAGCCUUUUAUACAAUGAUUCCUCUCAUCUCGACUCGUUUGAUGAAUGGGCGUUUAGUUUUUGCAACAACAUAUGCGUUGGGUUAUCUCAUAUCGGGAAACACUUUCUGCCACUUUUAACUUGAACAAAGUUGGAGAAAUAAAGUGAUGGCAGAUAUUGCAAGUUGUUUAUAGUGUGCCUGUAGAAAUGUAAAAACGCUAUGUUUCGUGAAUGCCCAGCCUGUAAAUCGAAAUAAGAUUUCGUAUUUAUUAAGCAUUGGAAGAUCACAAUUGUGACUUUGUGGGUUUCGUAAAGAACAUCAUAUAGAUUUCUUUGACCAAGUGUAAUAAAGCAAAACACACGGACAUAGUAUGGAUAUGGACACAGCAUGGGUAUGGACACAAGCAACACUACCAGUCGUUUGAAACGAUGAAAUGGGCAACAAGUCGAUUUGUUUUUCAUCUAUCAAUCGUUGUAAUUCACAUGCAGCUACAAGACGACACGUUAUAUUUAGGGUGCAAAGCAGGUAGAGAUUUCAUAGGCAUAUUUCGAAGUACCAGCUUUAUGCCAAAACAUGCAUGCAUGCAAGAAACUCCAUAACUUCGUUUGCGCAACUCCUGCUUAUCGUCUUCUUUCUAUACCCAUACUGNUGGAUCNAUGAAUGAACGUAGCAAUAGAUACAAGAUAUAGCGCCACACUUUUGAGCAUAUCCU